ACAGACCAAUGGCCAGACUGAACGCAUGAACCAGGAACUGGAAUCAACCCUUCGCUGCUUCACAUCCACAAACCCAUCCGAAUGGAGCCAAUUCCUUCCCUGGGCUGAGUAUGCGCACAAUAGUCAUGUAUCCACCGCUACUGGGUUAUCACCAUUCGAAAUAUCCCUAGGCUAUCAACCACCGCUUUUCCCCUCAGAGGAGAAAGACAUUACAGUGACUUCAGUACGACACCACAUCCGUCGUUGUAAAAAGAUCUGGAGUAACACUGUCCAGGCCCUCAGCCGCACAGCGGAGCAAAAUAAACGCCAAGCAGACCGCAGGAGAAUCCCCGCUCCAAUCUACACUGCGGGUCAGAAAGUUUGGUUGUCCUCACAUAAUAUCCCGUUAAAAUCCAUGUCUAAGAAACUGUCCCCCAGGUUUAUUGGCCCUUUUGACAUUGAAUCCAUUAUCAGUCCGUCUGCGGUCCGCCUCCGUCUCCCUGCCUCCAUGCGCAUUCAUCCCACCUUCCAUGUUUCACAAAUCAAACCCGUCCAGGCCAGUACUCUCUGCCCUCCUUCCGAGCCCCCUCCUCCCGCCCGUGAUGUGGAGGGUGACCCGGUCUAUGCUGUCCGCCGGAUCGUGGACUCCCGUCGGCGUGGUCGUGGUUGGCAGUACCUCGUCGACUGGGAGGGCUACGGUCCGGAGGAUCGUUCUUGGGUUUCCGGGUCAUUUAUUUUGGACCCGUCUCUUAUUGCUGAUUAUCGGCGCUCUCUUCCUUCUAGCUCUUCUCGGCCGCCAGGUGGCGACCGUUGAGGGGGGGGUACUGUUGGGGAUAUGGGUUCCUGGUGGGGUUUCUGGUGGUGCUCCUACAGCUUUCCACCAGAUGGCGCCAGAGGUGGCUCCUCCUGGCGGGGCGUGCCGGUAUCAGGCGCACCUGAACCACAUCUUCUCAUCAUCUCGGGAGUUCAAGAGGAGCUGACUGCCGUUUCUCCGACGCCUGAGUGUUUGCCAACAAUGGUGUUUUCAGCCAGACGCUGAGUUUCCUCCGUGAGAGGUUUUUUCUCCCCUGGUUUUCCCUGUACCUACCUUCUCGUGACGCCGUGGAAGUUACCCACUGGUUGCCCGAGCUCCUUCCCUGUUUUCCUCAAGUGGACCAAGCCGUUUUCCUGAGGAAUCCUGACGUGCAGUCGAACCGCUCCUCUGUCUCCCACCGCCUGAACUUACCUGUCCGCCCUCCACCACAGCCUCUUCCGCGCCAGCUCACCCGAGCUACGGUCAAAGAAGAACCCCGUCCGAUCGGAACCCAACCCGGCAGAUUUCCCUCCCCAAUCUGAACCGCCAACUCCACAAUGAGCCGCCUUUUUCCAGAGCUGCCUCCAGAGUGCCGUGUCCUUUCAAGACAACCCUUAUCUGAAUCUGCAAUAAAUAUUAUUACUGAUCUUUUGUCUACUCUGUGGUGUUCUGCAUGUGGGCAAAAAGAGUU
Xiphophorus couchianus (Monterrey platyfish) is the source of this 1463-nucleotide long non-coding RNA. RefSeq lists it as uncharacterized. NCBI's taxonomy places the organism in Eukaryota, Metazoa, Chordata, Actinopteri, Cyprinodontiformes, Poeciliidae. The transcript is spliced from 3 exons. The record is from RefSeq and is a predicted model, not a curated record.